CUGCCUCGCAGCACACUGGUAUGCUGUGGAACACACUUUAAAAAACGCUGGUCUAAAAGGUCAUUUUUGAGAAAUCUCCUGUCUUUGCAUGCAGGUGGAGCUGCACUGCAGGUACAAACAGUGGGUGUGCUUGUGUAGGCACAUUGUUGACAUUUUCACAACUGCGUCAUUGAUCAGAGCUUAAACUGUGACCUGGCUUACCUUUGAACGUUGGCCUUCCAACCACACUACCAUCUCUGCUGCUUUCCAGAACUCUGGCCACAUGCAGACUUUAUACAGAAGCCUUUCCUUGUGCAACUUAUGGUAUAGUCUAAAUGGUGACCAAGAAAUAAAAGCCUUUAUCCUAUUUCUAGUCCCAUUGCUGAAGCGCUCUGUGAAAACACAUCAUGAAUAUUAAUAGUCGUCAUUGCAAGGGACUGCAUUGUAUGAACAUAUCUAGGAAACAUUGCUUCAGCUUUGCAGA
Molecule: non-coding RNA, 463 nt
Organism: Pelodiscus sinensis (Chinese soft-shelled turtle)
Lineage: Eukaryota; Metazoa; Chordata; Testudines; Trionychidae
Source: RefSeq, a predicted model, not a curated record